Small nucleolar RNA from Tachyglossus aculeatus (Australian echidna), 142 nucleotides. Lineage: Eukaryota; Metazoa; Chordata; Mammalia; Monotremata; Tachyglossidae. The record is from RefSeq and is a predicted model, not a curated record.
CUCCUCUCAGGGUCGUACCUGGAGGGUUUCCAGUACUCUACCAGUCUCGACUAUGGGAGGGAGAGAGAGUAAAGUAGAGGCAUAACCAUUCCAUUCCUAGCUUGGGCGGGGGCUAGUGAAGGGAAGGCAAUCUGCUCCAAGU